This 433-nucleotide ribosomal RNA is filed under the name uncultured bacterium. RNAcentral describes it as "partial 16S ribosomal RNA". It matches the Rfam family "Bacterial small subunit ribosomal RNA", at positions 29 to 507 of the family's 1533-position model. The record is from RNAcentral.
AACGAACGCUGGCGGCAUGCCUAACACAUGCAAGUCGAACGAGACCUUCGGGUCUAGUGGCGCACGGGUGCGUAACGCGUGGGAACCUGCCCUUAGGUUCGGAAUAACUCCCCGAAAGGGGUGCUAAUACCGGAUAAUGUCUUCGGACCAAAGAUUUAUCGCCUCUGGAUGGGCCCGCGUUGGAUUAGCUAGUUGGUAGGGUAAAAGCCUACCAAGGCGACGAUCCAUAGCUGGUCUGAGAGGAUGAUCAGCCACACUGGGACUGAGACACGGCCCAGACUCCUACGGGAGGCAGCAGUGGGGAAUAUUGGACAAGGGGCGAAAGCCUGAUCCAGCAAUGCCGCGUGAGUGAUGAAGGCGUUAGGGUUGUAAAGCUCUUUUACCCGGGAUGAUAAUGACAGUACCGGGAGAAUAAGCGCCGGCUAACUCCGUG